UACGGAAGGCAGCGGUAGGGAAGUCUUCCGCAAUGGACGAAAGUCUGACGGAGCAACGCCGCGUGAACGAUGAAGGCUUUUCGGGUCGUAAAGUUCUGUUGUUAGGGAAGAACAAGUACCAGAGUAACUGCUGGUACCUUGACGGUACCUAACCAGAAAGCCACGGCUAACUACGUGCCAGCAGCCGCGGUAAUACGUAGGUGGCAAGCGUUGUCCGGAAUUAUUGGGCGUAAAGCGCGCGCAGGUGGUUUCUUUUAAGUCUGAUGUGAAAGCCCACGGCUCAAACCGUGGAGGGUCAUUGGAAACUGGGGAACUUGAGUGCAGAAGAGGAAAGUGGAAUUCCACGUGUAGCGGUGAAAUGCGUAGAGAUGUGGAGGAACACCAGUGGCGAAGGCGAACUUUUCUGGUCUGUAAACUGACACUGAGGCGCGAAAGCGUGGGGAGCGAACAGGGAUUAGAUACCCG
Molecule: ribosomal RNA, 465 nt
Filed under: uncultured bacterium
Lineage: Bacteria
Description: bacterial SSU rRNA
Rfam family: Bacterial small subunit ribosomal RNA
Source: RNAcentral